AACGAACGCUGGCGGCAUGCCUAACACAUGCAAGUCGAACGGUACCUUCGGGUCUCGUGGCGCACGGGUGCGUACCGCGUGGUAACCUGCCUUUAGGUUAGGAAUUACACGCCAAUAGGGGUGCUAAUAUCGGAUAAAUUCUUCGGACAAAAGAUUCAUCGCCUUUGGAUGGGCCUGCGUUUGCUUAGCUAGUUGGUAGGGAAAAAGCCUACCAAGGCGAUGAUCAAUUGCUGGCCUGACAGGAUGAUCAGCAACACUGGGACUGAGACACGGCCCAGACUCCUACGGGAGGCAGCAGUGGGAAAUAUAGGACGAUGGGCGAAAGCCAGAACCAGCAAUGCCGCGUGAGUGAUGAAGGCCUUAGGGUUGAAAAGCUCUUUUACCCGGGAUGAUAAGGACAGAACCGAGAGAAUAAGCUCCGGCAAACUCCGG
RNAcentral lists this ribosomal RNA (432 nucleotides) under uncultured bacterium. RNAcentral describes it as "partial 16S ribosomal RNA". It matches the Rfam family "Bacterial small subunit ribosomal RNA", at positions 29 to 506 of the family's 1533-position model. The record is from RNAcentral.